UUUGAAGCAGCUAGCUCUCUGCAAUUCUCACAAUGUCGCCCACUGACGCCAAGCAGGUCUGCGCCUGGUCAGUACCUGGAUGGGAGACCACAUGGGAAAGCUAGGUUGGUGUCGGAA
This is a non-coding RNA of Danio rerio (zebrafish), 117 nucleotides long. The record is from Rfam. NCBI's taxonomy places the organism in Eukaryota, Metazoa, Chordata, Actinopteri, Cypriniformes, Danionidae.